This 406-nucleotide ribosomal RNA is filed under the name uncultured bacterium. RNAcentral's name for it is "partial 16S ribosomal RNA". It matches the Rfam family "Bacterial small subunit ribosomal RNA", at positions 30 to 526 of the family's 1533-position model. The record is from RNAcentral.
AUUGAACGCUGGCGGCAGGCCUAACACAUGCAAGUCGAACGAGUGGCGGACGGGUGAGUAAUGUCUGGGAAACUGCCUGAUGGAGGGGGAUAACUACUGGAAACGGUAGCUAAUACCGCAUACCAUCAGAUGUGCCCAGAUGGGAUUAGCUUGUUGGUGGGGUAACGGCUCACCAAGGCGACGAUCCCUAGCUGGUCUGAGAGGAUGACCAGCCAACAUGGAACGUAGACAAGGUCCCGACUCCCACGGGAGGCCGUAGGUGGGAAUAUUUGACCAUGGGCGGCAGCCUGAUGCAGCCAUGCCGCGUGUAUGAAGAAGGCCUUUGGGUUGGAAAGUAAUUUCAGGGGGGAGGCGUUAACUGCAGAAGAAGGAACGGCUAACUCCGUGCCAGCCGCCGCGGUAAUAC